This 690-nucleotide ribosomal RNA is filed under the name uncultured Lachnospiraceae bacterium. RNAcentral's name for it is "bacterial SSU rRNA". It matches the Rfam family "Bacterial small subunit ribosomal RNA", at positions 65 to 768 of the family's 1533-position model. Lineage: Bacteria; Bacillati; Bacillota; Clostridia; Lachnospirales; Lachnospiraceae. The record is from RNAcentral.
UACGGAAUCCUUCGGGAGGAAGUGACUGUGACUGAGUGGCGGACGGGUGAGUAACGCGUGGGUAACCUGCCUCACACAGGGGGACAACAGCUGGAAACGGCUGCUAAUACCGCAUAAGCGCACAGUGCCGCAUGGCACGGUGUGAAAAGAUUCAUCGGUGUGAGAUGGACCCGCGUCUGAUUAGCCAGUUGGCAGGGUAACGGCCUACCAAAGCGACGAUCAGUAGCCGGCUUGAGAGAGUGACCGGCCACAUUGGGACUGAGACACGGCCCAGACUCCUACGGGAGGCAGCAGUGGGGAAUAUUGCACAAUGGGGGAAACCCUGAUGCAGCGACGCCGCGUGAGCGAAGAAGUAUUUCGGUAUGUAAAGCUCUAUCAGCAGGGAAGAUAAUGACGGUACCUGACUAAGAAGCUCCGGCUAAAUACGUGCCAGCAGCCGCGGUAAUACGUAUGGAGCAAGCGUUAUCCGGAUUUACUGGGUGUAAAGGGAGCGUAGGCGGUCCUGCAAGUCUGAUGUGAAAGGCCGGGGCUCAACCCCGGGACUGCAUUGGAAACUGUAGGACUAGAGUGUCGGAGGGGUAAGUGGAAUUCCUAGUGUAGCGGUGAAAUGCGUAGAUAUUAGGAGGAACACCAGUGGCGAAGGCGGCUUACUGGACGAUAACUGACGCUGAGGCUCGAAAGCGUGGGGAG